AUUGCUCCUUAGUCUCUGGUUGGGGAAGGUGUCUCUUACCAGGGCUGUUCUACAGGAAGGUGUUAACGACCGUGCUGUAUGAGUGACUGUGCAACUUGGCCCUGUGUUUGAGCAUGAUCCUAAUGCCGGUGCAUGGAAAAGGAGACAAAGGUUAAGAAAGAGGGGAGAAGUUUCAUCCAUUCACAGUGCCACCCACCUGAAGUGGCCCUGAAAAAAAAAUAAGGGCUCUUCACGUUGAAAAGGCGACAACCUUGAGGGAUACGGUGUGUGCAUCUACACACUCAUGAACGUAUGGAAGUGGGUGAAUAGGGAAUUCAACAUUUCUCCGCAACUGGGUACCCAAAUGAUGUAUGAGGAUGUUUUCAAGUGCUGCAAUUAAUGUGUGAAAGUAAUUUCUGAUGGGUGUGUCUAGAAAUUAAACUGGAGAACUGGGGCAGCUCUGUCAGCGUAGGCUUGUUGGUGCUCAUUAAGCAAGGCAUCUCAAGGAAACUCCUUCCUCAACAAGUCCAUAAAUCAUGGAGCAGGGUAAGCACACCAGGGGGAGGCUUGCUCUACACUUAUCCCAUGCCCCAUGUUUUCUCCCUCAGGCUCCCACAGCCAUUUGCACUCAUCCAUCAUUACUGCAUUCCUGUCCUCACUUUUUUACCCCCUAUAGUUUUGUUUGCACAGAAUCUCUGUGCACCUCCAAAGCUCUUCCCUGUGUCUGCAGAACUUUCUGAUAUAGGGAACACAUCUUCAAACGGGUCAUAUAGGAUCAGCUAGGGUAGAAAUCGCUUUACGUAAAGCAAUUUCAGUGCUGAUGUCCAUGUAGACACUUGCUAUGGGGCCUGGAAAGGAAAAAAUGCUUUCUCAUCUUGGCAGUGCUGAGCGUUACAUGGCUUCUGAACAAAAGACAAAGGAGAAAUACUUAGUGGAAUAAAAGCAUAAUGAAACAUUCUGACCUUUUUCCCCCUGCACUCUUCUCGAGGAGCUCAUAUGCAGGCUUUUUUCAGGCAUUCGAGAGUGGCAAAUGUGAAAUGCUGAAUUUUAGUAAGUAACCUGCACAGGGAUCAAAGUGCAGCAGAAAGCAAGGCAUGCAGCGAGGCUCUCUGCUUUCCCCUGGUAGAAGAUUAAACAGCUUUAAUAGUGCAGUUUUAUGAGAACCACAGCCCCUCUGUUACUGGCCUGCCUCUUCAGGAGGAGACAUUACAGCAGGAAGCAGGGAUUAGGGUUUCCUCUCCAGUGCCAGAGGGAGAUAUGGCACAGUGCAGAUGUGCAGUGCCAGAGCUGUCAGCAACCACAGGGAGUCUGCGGAGGGAACGAGCUAACCAGACAGUGGUGAAGCAAUUAGAAAUAUCAAAGGAAAGAAUGUGCUUUGGAAUGUAAAGGCAUGAGAUGAUAGGCAUCUUUAGUAUAAAGAACCGGUUAAAUUUAGUACAGGCUAUUAUUAAAACUCCUGGCACAUUAAGACAUUUCCUGGGAACUAUUCUGGUUAAGCCUGCACUAUUUCAGCAGUAAAUUCAAUCCAGUUAUGUAUUCAACUCAUUUUGAAACGUAGUAUCUAAAAGAAUGAGAUUUUCUUUUUUUUAAUUAUCUUCUUAAUUCUACUGAAAAUAGCAAAAAAUCACCACAGGAAAUUAAGAUUAUUAUUAUUUUUAUUAUUAUUUGAGAUCAAAUUUGCCCUAAAGAUCAAUAAAGCAAAAAUGAUAAGCUCCUGUACUUCACUGUCCCAGCAAAUAGUGAAUCUCAUAUUUAAAAUAAUCACAAAAUGGAAAACUUUACAAUGAAAUGAAAGGAUAUGGAGCACCAUAACAGUGGAAGGAAUGAAGACAUAGCAUAUACAGACCACUCACUGAGGAAACUGCAAAAAUACAAUAGACAUAAGGGAUUUUUUUCUCUGAAAUAUUGCAGGAAAAUAAUUGGAAGCCGUGGUCACGAAUUACAAAUAUGUAAAUUGGGUGAAACAGUUGGGCAUGGGAAAAACACAUACCACCCUCACCUGCACUCGGCAUCUCAGAAAACUAAGAGAUCGUACAGAGAGCAUCCCUGUCUGUCUGCCAGCAUCACAACCUCGGGAAUAGGACAGCAAUCAUCACAGACAUUUCCAGCUCACGGGAAGAGUCCACGCUGCCAUGCAUGCUGAACAGGUGAAGUGCAGUCUUUGCAGUGAUUGACCAGUGGGGACAUUUGCAAAGGGAAGAACACGGAAAACAAUUCUGCGUAUCAUUGCCUGCAAACUGAUGGGAGCUCAUAGGAGAAAAAGGAGAGACUUAACCCACUCGACCAUUAAGGAAACUUUUCCUUCCCGUAUCAAAAGUACACUACAGCAGAAAGUAGACAGCCGUUGAGAUUUUUCCUUGGUGGUGGAAUUGAUGCUUCAUAGCUUUUAGUCUUAAUUCUGCUUUUUUUACACCCUUCCCUAGGGUGCUCUAGCAGGGAAGGUUGGACUCCAUGAUCUCCAGAGGUCCCUUCAAGCCCCAAUUCUGCAAUUCUGCAAUUCUGUGAUUCUGUGGUCUGUUGAAAUUCUACUUACAAAGAAAAUGAGUGCAACGGAUAAGAGAAAAAAGCAGGAAAAUAAAUGCUUUCCAAGUCUGUAAUCAUUUGAUUACUUGAUUUUAUUAAACGUAAAUUAUGCAGACCUUGCUAAGCUUUCUGCAGUAAAAUAUUGUUUCUGUAAAUUAUUGAGUACCUUUCAUUUUCUGCACAGAAAGUCUCAAGGAUUCCUUUUGAAGAAGGAAUUUCGUUAACGAAAUUAAACCCAAAUAGAAGCU
This is a long non-coding RNA of Gallus gallus (chicken), 2750 nucleotides long. Lineage: Eukaryota; Metazoa; Chordata; Aves; Galliformes; Phasianidae. The record is from Ensembl.